This 464-nucleotide ribosomal RNA is filed under the name Vreelandella stevensii. Its description in RNAcentral is "partial 16S ribosomal RNA". It matches the Rfam family "Bacterial small subunit ribosomal RNA", at positions 338 to 795 of the family's 1533-position model. Lineage: Bacteria; Pseudomonadati; Pseudomonadota; Gammaproteobacteria; Oceanospirillales; Halomonadaceae. The record is from RNAcentral.
CCUACGGGUGGCAGCAGUGGGGAAUAUUGGACAAUGGGCGAAAGCCUGAUCCAGCCAUGCCGCGUGUGUGAAGAAGGCCUUCGGGUUGUAAAGCACUUUCAGUGGGGAAGAAAGCCUUGGGGCUAAUACCCUCGAGGAAGGACAUCACCCACAGAAGAAGCACCGGCUAACUCCGUGCCAGCAGCCGCGGUAAUACGGAGGGUGCGAGCGUUAAUCGGAAUUACUGGGCGUAAAGCGCGCGUAGGCGGUCUGAUAAGCCGGUUGUGAAAGCCCCGGGCUCAACCUGGGAACGGCAUCCGGAACUGUCAGGCUAGAGUGCAGGAGAGGAAGGUAGAAUUCCCGGUGUAGCGGUGAAAUGCGUAGAGAUCGAGAGGAAUACCAGUGGCGAAGGCGGCCUUCUGGACUGACACUGACGCUGAGGUGCGAAAGCGUGGGUAGCAAACAGGAUUAGAUACCGUGUAGUC